This 495-nucleotide ribosomal RNA is filed under the name uncultured bacterium. RNAcentral describes it as "partial 16S ribosomal RNA". It matches the Rfam family "Bacterial small subunit ribosomal RNA", at positions 28 to 523 of the family's 1533-position model. The record is from RNAcentral.
GAUGAACGCUAGCGGGAGGCCUAACACAUGCAAGCCGAGCGGUAUUGUUUCUUCGGAAAUGAGAGAGCGGCGUACGGGUGCGUAACACGUGUGCAACCUGCCUUUAUCUGGGGGAUAGCCUUUCGAAAGGAAGAUUAAUACUCCAUAAUAUAUUGAACGGCAUCGUUUAAUAUUGAAAGCUCCGGCGGAGAGAGAUGGGCACGCGCAAGAUUAGCUAGUUGGUGAGGUAACGGCUCACCAAGGCGAUGAUCUGUAGGGGGACUGAGAGGGUGAUCCCCCACACUGGUACUGAGACACGGACCAGACUCCUACGGGAGGCAGCAGUGAGGAAUAUUGGUCAAUGGGUGCAAGCCUGAACCAGCCAUCCCGCGUGAAGGACGACUGCCCUAUGGGUUGUAAACUUCUUUUGUAUAGGGAUAAACCUACCCUCGUGAGGGUAGCUGAAGGUACUAUACGAAUAAGCACCGGCUAACUCCGUGCCAGCAGCCGCAGUAA